GCCCGGUCGUACUCAUAAC
Molecule: small nuclear RNA, 19 nt
Filed under: Arabidopsis thaliana (thale cress)
Lineage: Eukaryota; Viridiplantae; Streptophyta; Magnoliopsida; Brassicales; Brassicaceae
Description: snRNA_11190
Source: RNAcentral